UUAAAAGAUAAGCUAAAUAAGCUAACGGGUUCAUACCCCGUUUAUGAAGGGUCCGGUCCUUCUCUUUUUAA
Molecule: transfer RNA, 71 nt
Filed under: Laomedia astacina
Lineage: Eukaryota; Metazoa; Arthropoda; Malacostraca; Decapoda; Laomediidae
Description: tRNA-Met
Source: RNAcentral